GAUGAAGAACGUAGCGAAAUGCGAUACGUAAUGUGAAUUGCAGAAUUCAGUGAAUCAUCGAGUCUUUGAACGCACAUUGCGCCCUCUGGUAUUCCGGAGGGCAUGCCUGUCCGAGCGUCAUUGCUGCCCUCAAGCACGGCUUGUGUGUUGGGCCCCGCCCCCCGAUCCCGGGGGGCGGGCCCGAAAGGCAGCGGCGGCACCGCGUCCGGUCCUCGAGCGUAUGGGGCUUUGUCACCCGCUCUGUAGGCCCGGCCGGCGCUUGCCGAUCAACCAAACUUUUUUCCAGGUUGACCUCGGAUCAGGUAGGGAUACCCGCUGAACUUAAGCAUAUCAAAAGCGGAGGA
Molecule: unclassified non-coding RNA, 344 nt
Filed under: soil metagenome
Description: partial contains 5.8S ribosomal RNA, internal transcribed spacer 2, and large subunit ribosomal RNA
Rfam family: 5.8S ribosomal RNA (bases 1-120)
Source: RNAcentral